Eucalyptus grandis is the source of this 4430-nucleotide long non-coding RNA. RefSeq lists it as uncharacterized. Lineage: Eukaryota; Viridiplantae; Streptophyta; Magnoliopsida; Myrtales; Myrtaceae. The transcript has 6 exons. The record is from RefSeq and is a predicted model, not a curated record.
UCUAAAAUGAGGGAUUAACUACAAGGCCUCAACAAAUUGUCCACACCUGUCGAAUUUCGGUGGUCUUACGGAAUGAUGGGGGGCCAAUUUCGGAUGAAGCUCCAGGAAUCAAGGCGUCUAAAUUCUAAAAGACGUUCAGCGAUGCAACUUGUUGGAAUAUCGUUCAUUGCGCUACUGCAGCAAAGAAACAACUCCAAUCAGUCAGAGCGCUUUGGCCACAAGUGGAAACGAUUCACAUGUCCUUUCAAAGGGCCCAUGAACUGGGCAUCCUUACAAAGUAAAUCCAACAAGAUUUGGGGAGGGGAAGAAAUCCAGUCCCUUCGCAAUGGAGUUGGUUUCACGAUGGCAAUGGGGUGAUACGUAGCUGUGAGAAGCUAGACGACAGAUCAAGGCAUUGGGAGAUAAUUGUGUGUGCAUCCACAAGCGUCCCUUCUAAGUUUCGAAUAAUGCAGGUGAUUGCUCCUUCCAUGGAGCUUUUGACGAAGGAAUCCAUCAAUGUUGACCUCUAAAGAUCCGACCUUUGGGGGUUUCCAGUUCUCAGAAGAGGUGGGAGCGUCAAGGUCCGAUUUUUUGCUUUGAAUUCCAUCUCCUGCAAUUGCCGAGAGAAGAUAGAGCUCCCCUGUAGUGCUUGAACUGGGUCUGGGGGUUUCUUUCGAAAGAUGAAGUUGUUACGGGAAGUCCAAAUAAGCCAAAAGAUGGUUGCUACAAGCGCCAGAGAAGGUGGGUUUUCUGUGUUUUUAAGGAAUUGCAUUAGCCUUAUCUCUAUUCUGCUUGACCCUGGGAAGAAACCUGAAUGUUUAGGAAUGGUUGAACCCAUAUGUCUUGUGUCCAAGGACAAAGGAGAAGGAGACGCUCUGGGAUUCCACCUGGUCUUUACACAGUGAGCAGUCUUAUUCCAUAAAGCCUGAGGAGCCAAGAAAGAUGAGGAAGCCAUUGGAGCUUUUCGGAUAUUCUCGGUAAGUCUUAUGUAGUUGUAGCCACUCUUUACUGAGUAAUUUCCUGUUGAUGAAUAUCUCCAUACCAGUUUGUCUUGAAUAGAGUGGGUUGUUGGAGGAAUAGCCAGAAUUUCCUUCACGAUGUCCUCUUCGAAAAUAUUUCGAAGAAGAGGUUCAUUCUAGGAAUUUUCUUUGUGGUUUAUAACCUCUACUACCUGUUGUGGGUCAUUUUUAUUGGCUGGCCCUCCAAUUACACCUCUUUAGAACCAUCUGUCCUCUAUGAUACUGAUUGCUUCUCCUGUUUCCACUGUCCACAUUGAAGGUUCUAAGAUUGAGUCUCUUCCCUCUAGUAAGCUUUGCCAGCCCCAAGAGGGUCUGUGCCCUUUCCCAGCAUGCCAGAAACUCCUUUUUGGGAAGUAAAUCCCUUUAAAAAUUUGCCCCAUAAAGAGCAAGACUGGUGCAUUAAUCUCUAGGCUUGCUUUCCUAAGAAAGCUUUGUUAAGAGAAAGUAAAUCUUUGAAUCCCAUGCCUCCAUUGUCUUUCCUUUGCUUCAAGAAAUCCCAACUCUUCCAAUGAAUACCAGAGUGAGAUUCUCUGCUUUUCCACUAAAAUGCUGCCAUUCUGUGUUCAAUCACUUUACAUAUGGAAACGGGAAUCUUGAAAAUUGACAUUGCAUAUUGAGGAAGAGCCUGCACUACUGUUUUUUAGUAAUAUCUCCUUUCCUGCUUUAGAAUUUAAAGAUUCCUUCCAACCUUCCAUUUUUUUGUUAACUCUUCCAAGUAUCCAGGCAAAACAUAUUCUUCUUAGACUCUCCCCAAUCCAAAGGAAUUCCAAGGUAUUUUCCUGUUUUAUCCAGUUCUAGGACACACCGUUCAUAAGCCAUAUUGGCUCUUAUGGUCUGUGGACACCCUGAGCUAAAGAGUAUUCCUGAUUUGUUUAGGUUUAUCUCCUAUCCAGUAGCAAAACAAUGCUAAUGUUACAUCUGAUAUAGAUUGGCAUUCUUGAAUUCUCCCAUCUAAAAAGAAGAUGGAAUCAUCUGCAAAUAGGAGAUGUGAUAUGGUAGGGGAAAAAGAGUUGAGCUUAAUACCCUUUAUACUGCCAUCCUCCACUGCUUUUCUUCAUCAUAAAAGAUAAAAUGUUUGCUACAAAAAUAUAGAGAUGAGGGGAUGAAAGAUCACCUUGCCAAAGUCCUCUGGAAGGUUGGAAGUAAGGAAGAGGAUUCCCAUUAUAUUUAACACUGAAUGAGACUGAAGAUACACAUUUUAUAACCCAUGUAAUCCACUUUUCAUCAAAGCCCAGUUUUCUUAAGCAUGCCUCCAACAAGUCCCAUUCUACUCUGUCAUGCGCCUUUUUCGUAUCAAGUUUCAAAACCGCUAGGAAUUUUUUCCUCCUCUUCUUUGCUCUUAGUUGAUGCAACACUUCCUGCACUAUCAUGAUAUUGUCCUGGAUAAGUCUCCCACUCAUAAAUGCACUUUGCUCUUGAGCUAUCAAUUUCGAUGACCAAGUUUUGAGUCUAUUCACCAUUACCUUGGAUAUGAUUUUAUAGGCCAAAAUUGCACAAACUAAUGGGGCGGAAUUGAUCAAGAGUUUCUAGGUUAGGAAUUUUGGAACUAGAGUAAUGUGGGUUCUAUUUAAAUCAGGAUUCAUUUUUCCUGAUAUGAAAAUAUUUUUAACUGCUGCAAAUACUUCAAAAAUGAUUUUCUCGAAGUUCUACUUUUGAAGAAUGAUUGGCUUCUCCCUUGAAAUCUAUUUGGUUAUGUUUGUUCGCUUGUGCAGAUACUUUUUAUUUCAUAUUUUCCAUGAGGAUGCUCAAUUGGAAGAUCAAUUGCUCCAAAUAAGCCAUAUGUACUCUUCAGGAAAUCCCUAACUCCAGUUAUCUCAGUCCCUUGACCAUUCUUUUUCAUGGUAAAUAAUUUGCAUGUUCUGAUGCACUGCUAUAUUUUCUUCACAAGAUUCCCUGGCCAUUUUGUAUUCAUUGAUCAGAUUUACGUGUCAGAUUUGACCAAGGGCAGACUAUCAAUCAAAUUCAUCCCAUCUGGAAAAAUCAUCUUCUGAUUUUAUGUUAUAAUCAUUUAAGCAUUAGAAUUUUUAUGCUGUGCAAGGUGGAUUUGUUCCAUUGAUGCUCAUUAUGGACGUUCAAAAUAGCAAGAUAUAAUAUAUCAUGCUAUACAUGAUAAAAGAAACGAUGUCAUUUUGAUAUGGGACAUGAAACCCAAGAGAACCAUAUGUGGAGGUGGUUCUGUUGUGAGAUUAGGAGUGAAGUGCCUGUGUAAAUGGACCAUUUGUUUUGGCACAGGAAUGUAGGCAGAGCUGGACGUUGUAAUUGCUUUGUGAAAGUUUUGGUGUCAAGACUGCUCUGGAAAGAUGGAGAUUCCUCACUGGCACAUUACAGCAUGAUUCAGUACUAAUUGAUUCAGUAGAUAACUAGUUGAUCUCAUGAUGUAGUGUUGAUUUGCAGGAGCUGGUUACUGAAAUAUGACCAGGAAGAUAUCCGAGGAUAGGGGUGAUGCUACGUUAUGGAGACGCGAGUUCAGUCCAAUGGUUUUUGUAGAAUCAAGCUGCAUAUUUCACAUAUUCAACUGCUUUCGGGACGGUUAUGAGGUAUAUUUUUCCUAGUAGCCUAAUUUGAAGGUUAAAAUCCUCUUAGACUAAGCCUCAACUUUAAUGAUAUUGCCCAACAAUGCAGGUUGUGGUGAGAAGAUGCAGAUCUCUUACAGUGGUGUUUCCGUGUCCUGAUUGGGGUAUGAACAAGUUCAAUUGGUUCUCGAGAGGAUUCAACUUAGAGAACCGGUGGAUGCAAAUGCUAACAAACAUGGAGGCUAUCUGUUUACCUGUGCCUAUGAGUGGAGAUUGAACAUGGAAAUUGGGAAAUUCAGGAGUCGAAUCUUAUGGGCACUGAAUUCUCUAUGGACUUCCUUUCAUAAAUGCUGAAUUCACUGGCUUGCGUAAUGGGUAUGGUUAUGCUCAAGUCAUCAAUUCAGAGCAAGCUCUGAAAGUGGUAAUGCAAUGCCAGUCUCUACUCUCGAGUCCAUGUCCAUUUGCCCAAAGUAGCGCAUAAGAUCAGUUUCCUAUUGUUUAUGCAUCACUCAUUUGAUUCAGGAAUGGCUAAAUAUGGAGGUCUUGUGAAAUUAUACUUCGACGAACCUUGUCCUGGGCUGUCUGACUCUGAGAGAGGAAGAUAUCACAAGAAGUUGAUGAAGGUCGGGUACCAUAAUUUCGAAAAGGACAGCUUCUGCAGCAGGUGUGUUCUUGUCCCUAAGAAAGAUGGUCUUGGAGAGGACAGUGGUUGGAUCGUCUCUUGGGUACAUAAUGAAGAAACAGCUGUGUCCCAGGUUCUUGUGAUUGAAGCGCAGAAGUUUAAAGGUGAGCCAAUGGAAAAAAUCACUCUGCCUCAAAGGGCACCCUAUGGAUUCCAUGGUACCUUCGUCUCGUCUUUAUCCCGAAUCGAUGAUUGGGGACACCAGAUCUCAUGUACAAGGCCUUACUUUUCUCAUCA